GGCUCGGUAGCUUAGUUGGUAAAGCGCUCGUCUAGCAAACAAGAGUCCUGGGUUCAAAUCCCAGCCGAGCAC
Non-coding RNA from Aedes aegypti (yellow fever mosquito), 72 nucleotides. NCBI's taxonomy places the organism in Eukaryota, Metazoa, Arthropoda, Insecta, Diptera, Culicidae. The record is from Rfam.